This 653-nucleotide long non-coding RNA is filed under the name Brassica napus (rape). Its description in RNAcentral is "long non-coding RNA (BNAP_LNC010538)". The record is from RNAcentral. Lineage: Eukaryota; Viridiplantae; Streptophyta; Magnoliopsida; Brassicales; Brassicaceae.
AUUUUUGGAGUUUUGAGUAUAUUUUAACUAUUUAAAAUAUUUACGUUUGAUUAUUUGUAUAUAUUUUCAAGCAUUUAAGCGAAAUUAAAAGUAUCAUAUAUAUUCUGGAUGUUCUUAAAAAUUAUUAAUAUAUAUAUAAGUAUAUAAAUCUAUUUUGGAUACCCAAAAUGCUUCAGUUCGGAUCGGAUUAGAUUUCAGUUCUUCAGAUACCAAAAUUUUGAAUAAUUCAGAUAUUUAAUCAAUUCCGGUUCGAAUUUAGUACUACUUAUUCGGAUUGGGAUGGGUUCAAUUCUUCGAAUUCGAGUUUUUUGCCCAACCUUAAAUAGUGACAUAAAAAUCAAAUAGCAUCAUAUUUUUUUUAUAAAUAAAAAUCAAAUAGCAUCUAGUUAUUAUUAACAUUAAUGACAAUGUGUUGUUUGAAUUUCUCGGUAGCCUUAUCCUCCGCAAAGCUGCUACUUUCAAAAUUUCCUCUUCUGUCUCCAGCCUUCAUAUCCCUUUGAAAAUCCAACUUCUCACUUAAUGCUAAAAUUUCAACGACUCAUGCUGAAAACAUUGUCAUCUUCUGGAACAAUCCUGAUAGGUUGGAACUUUGGUAUGUUGUUAUUUCCUUGAAAUCAUGGAAGAGACUACGCGAGUUUAAGGGCAAGAUUGAU